AUGGCCCCGGCGGGCAGUGCUGGGAAGCACCGCCCAGGGACGCGGGGCUGCCGCGGUCCGCUCCGCCGUCGCCACCCACAUCCCCGAAAGUUUUUUGGAGCGAGGCGGGCACGGCCGGGGGGGUGUCGUCGGCCCUCCAGGCCCGCGGAGCGGCGGCGCUGCGGGCCCCCGGAAGUUCAUGAAGUGGAUCAUGGUCUUAUUAGCCAGCUACUUGCUGAUUCAGAGGAGACUCUUAGUUCGUGCACAGAGAAAAUGCAGGGUCCUGCUCAAUAUAGCUGGAGUGCUGACUGGAGCUUUUGGCUCUCAAGUUCCACUUACAAAUAUAGGAGUGAGGAAUUCAAGAGACAGUUUUCUCAUCUGCCAGACUCGGAGAGGCUUAUAGUAGAUUAUGCCUGUGCUCUCCAGAAGGAUAUCCUGCUGCAAGGACGCUUGUAUCUCUCUGAAAACUGGCUCUGUUUCCACAGCAACAUUUUCCGAUGGGAGACCACGAUUUCUAUUGCCUUGAAGGAUAUCACUUUCAUGACAAAGGAGAAGACUGCUCGGCUCAUUCCAAAUGCCAUUCAAAUAGCAACAAAAGGAGAGAAGUUUUUCUUCACAUCAUUCAGUGCAAGAGACAGAAGCUACCUCAGUAUCUUCCGCUUAUGGCAGAAUGUGUUGCUGGAUAAGAGACUGACCAAGCAGGAAUUCUGGCAGCUGGUGCACCAGAGCUAUGGCUCCGAGCUGGGCCUGAACAGCGAGGAGAUGGAGAGCUUCCACUCGUCGUCUGAGGACAAUGGGCAGCCUCGAUCCCCUAUUUGUGAUGAAUCUGGAGAAAGGGAUGAAAAACUACCUAAAACAGUUGGUUUAGUUCGGGAGCCUGUGCCUCAAACGGAAGGAGAGUCCCUCAAUAGCCACACGUUGUCCGGAGUGGAGGAGUCUGCAAGUGAGAAGCAAAUAAAGAAGAGCCCUCUUCCAUCUUCAGAGAGAAAAUCUGUUAAGCUAGUCAGGAGCAGGUCUUUCGAAAAGUCCUUGGACCUGAAUGAGAAUGAAAAUCUUCCAGAGAAGAGCAGUGCCUCAGACAGUGAAGAAGCAGUGAAGGAGACUGUCUCUGAGAACGAUCUCUAUGGGAGACUUUUUAUAAACAGAGUUUUCCACAUCACUGCAGACAAGAUGUUUGAAAUCCUUUUCACCAAUUCUCACUUCAUGCAGAGGUUUCUCAACUCCAGGAGUAUAGUAGAUGCUGUAUCAACCCCUUGGAAUAGAGAUUCCAGUGGCAAUCAGUUGAGGACUUUGACGUACACUGUAACAAUUAAUAAUCCACUGUGUGGAAAGUUCACAACUGCAACUGAAAAACAGAUACUGUAUAAGCAAAGCCAGAAAGGCCAGACUUAUCAGGUGGAUGCUGAGGUACUGACCCAUGACGUCCCCUACCAUGAUUAUUUCUACACUGUGAACAGAUACUGCAUCAGCCGCACAUCCAGUCACAAGUGUCGAUUACGGGUUUCUGCAGAAGUGAAGUACAAAAAGCAGCCUUGGGGACUUGUCAAGUCUGUAAUUGAGAAGAAUACCUGGGGAGGAAUACAGGAAAACUUCAAACAACUUGAAUCAGAUCUUCUAAUGGAGGAAUAUGCAAUUAAUCAGUCCAUAGAAGACUCUGGAAAAUUAGUUGCCCUGAGACGAAGACGACGCACUUUACACCGGAGUUUGGCAGAAUCACUUCCCAAACGCUCUUCCCAGCAUUCCUCCGGUGACAUGGGAGUAGAGUCCCAGGGCAGCAUAAUAGGAAGGAAAAGAGAUGCUGUAAGUAGGACCACCACCAUCAUUGUAGUAAUGAGUGUCUUUUUGCUGCUCUUGGUCUUGCUGAAUAUAACACUGUUUCUCAAACUGUCAAAGAUAGAACAUGCAGCUCAGUCCCUCUAUCAUGUCCAGCUUCAGGAAGAAAGCUCUUUGAACAUAUCCCCAGAAAUGGUAUCAAAAGAGGAGAUCCCUCAGUAUGAUAAGGAACAGGUUAAACAUGUGAAGGGAAUUUUAAGAGACUCUAUUGAAAUGCUUGAGCAGCUAAAGGUCUCCCUUUCCAUGCUCCAAAGAAGCUUUGAUCACUUGAACAGGACACAGAAUGGCAAGACUGAGAGUUAGUGCCAACAUCAGUCUUCUGUUCCAGACGUGCGAAGAACAGAUGUGUGUAUGUGUGAGGACUUGUGGGCCUGGUGACGAUCUGUCUCCUGACAGCCUUGUGUCCCGUGCAGUCUCGCCUACAACAGUGCAGAGCUCUCAAAUCCCGUGGUGAGUGAGCGAGGACAGUUGUACCACCAAUUAAGAGAUGCGAAUUUUGGGGGAGGGAAGAACAGCUUCAGCAGACAGCUGGGUUUGUAUGUAAUGAAGUCACAGCUUUUUAUGUCAACUUAAAAAAAAUAACCAUCAGUUAUUGGGAGAAAAAG
This is an RNA transcript of Colius striatus (speckled mousebird), 2417 nucleotides long. It is a transcript of the gene named GRAM domain containing 1C, with no coding region annotated. Lineage: Eukaryota; Metazoa; Chordata; Aves; Coliiformes; Coliidae. The transcript has 19 exons. The record is from RefSeq and is a predicted model, not a curated record.